Molecule: transfer RNA, 67 nt
Filed under: Ilythea japonica
Lineage: Eukaryota; Metazoa; Arthropoda; Insecta; Diptera; Ephydridae
Description: tRNA-Trp
Rfam family: tRNA
About the family: Transfer RNA (tRNA) molecules are approximately 80 nucleotides in length. Their secondary structure includes four short double-helical elements and three loops (D, anti-codon, and T loops). Further hydrogen bonds mediate the characteristic L-shaped molecular structure. tRNAs have two regions of fundamental functional importance: the anti-codon, which is responsible for specific mRNA codon recognition, and the 3' end, to which the tRNAs corresponding amino acid is attached (by aminoacyl-tRNA synthetases). tRNAs cope with the degeneracy of the genetic code in two manners: having more than one tRNA (with a specific anti-codon) for a particular amino acid; and 'wobble' base-pairing, i.e. permitting non-standard base-pairing at the 3rd anti-codon position.
Source: RNAcentral
AAGGUUUUAAGUUAAAUAAACUAAUAGCCUUCAAAGCUAUAAAUAUAAGGAUAUCUUUUAAGCCUUA